AUAGGGCGAUGUACCACCUGACGAAUCUGUCACAACCUUCAAACUGCUAUUUUUGAAUGACCCUAAAAAAGAUAAAGAUUAUCAUACAGAAAUUUGCAAUAUCCUUACUGAAUAUCUUCUAUAAAACAAAUUAGAAUAUACAAAUAACUGAAAAUAGGAGAAAAGAGACGUUUAUAUAAUAUUGAACCAGACCAAAUUAUCUCCUGAUAAGAGAUAUACCUUCGAUUGAUUUGUUUUGAAUAAAUGACCAUAAGAUUUGAACUUCAACUAACUUUGAAUUUGAUCUUUCAAGCUUAUACUGUAAUGAGUAAAGCAGGGAAAAACUUA
Harmonia axyridis is the source of this 327-nucleotide long non-coding RNA. RefSeq lists it as uncharacterized. The transcript has 2 exons. Lineage: Eukaryota; Metazoa; Arthropoda; Insecta; Coleoptera; Coccinellidae. The record is from RefSeq and is a predicted model, not a curated record.